CCUACGGGAGGCAGCAGUGAGGAAUAUUGGUCAAUGGACGUAAGUCUGAACCAGCCAAGUAGCGUGAAGGAUGACUGCUCUAUGGAUUGUAAACUUCUUUUAUAUGGGAAUAAAGCGUUGCACGUGUGGGAUUUUGUAUGUACCAUAUGAAUAAGGAUCGGCUAACUCCGUGCCAGCAGCCGCGGUAAUACGGAGGAUCCGAGCGUUAUCCGGAUUUAUUGGGUUUAAAGGGAGCGUAGGUGGACUGUUAAGUCAGUUGUGAAAGUCUGCGGCUCAACCGUAAAAUUGCAGUUGAAACUGGCAGUCUUGAGUACAGUAGAGGUGGGCGGAAUGCGGGGUGUAGCGGUGAAAUGCUUAGAUAUCACGAAGAACUCCGAUUGCGAAGGCAGUUCACUGGACUGUGACUGACACUGAGGCACGAAAGCGUGGGUAUCAAACAGGAUUAGAUACCCGGGUAGUC
This 460-nucleotide ribosomal RNA is filed under the name uncultured bacterium. RNAcentral's name for it is "partial 16S ribosomal RNA". It matches the Rfam family "Bacterial small subunit ribosomal RNA", at positions 338 to 795 of the family's 1533-position model. The record is from RNAcentral.